This 427-nucleotide ribosomal RNA is filed under the name uncultured bacterium. Its description in RNAcentral is "bacterial SSU rRNA". It matches the Rfam family "Bacterial small subunit ribosomal RNA", at positions 355 to 774 of the family's 1533-position model. The record is from RNAcentral.
UGGGGAAUUUUGGACAAUGGGCGCAAGCCUGAUCCAGCCAUGCCGCGUGCAGGAUGAAGGCCCUCGGGUUGUAAACUGCUUUUGUACGGAACGAACAGCCUCUUUCUAAUAAAGAGGGGUGAUGACGGUACCGUAAGAAUAAGCACCGGCUAACUACGUGCCAGCAGCCGCGGUAAUACGUAGGGUGCGAGCGUUAAUCGGAAUUACUGGGCGUAAAGCGUGCGCAGGCGGUCUUGCAAGACAGUGGUGAAAUCCCCGGGCUCAACCUGGGAACUGCCAUUGUGACUGCAAGGCUGGAGUACGGCAGAGGGAGAUGGAAUUCCGCGUGUAGCAGUGAAAUGCGUAGAUAUGCGGAGGAACACCGAUGGCGAAGGCAGUCCCCUGGGCCUGUACUGACGCUCAGGCACGAAAGCGUGGGGAGCAAACA